Prunus mume (Japanese apricot) is the source of this 909-nucleotide non-coding RNA. Lineage: Eukaryota; Viridiplantae; Streptophyta; Magnoliopsida; Rosales; Rosaceae. The record is from RefSeq and is a predicted model, not a curated record.
UAAGCUCCGUUUGUUGAAGUUUCUCUUGCGGCAAUCAGAUUCUGACCCAAUCCUUUUGCAAGAUUUGGCUUUCUCUGUAUUUGUAUAAUCAUUAGUAAAGUCGAGAGGAAAGAAGAGAUUGCAUAGUAUACAGCUCGAGCCACCAUCCAUCUCCAUCAUCACUAUCCGAACUGAAAGAACAAAACUUGAAUAGCAGCACUUCCGAUUGAACAAACUGCUGGGAAUGGGACACUAGGGUGCUUCUCGGGGGAGCUAGAAAACUGCGGCAAAGGGGACACGUGGCAUGCUGAAACCCGGUCCACCGGUCCAAGCAUUGUUUAUGAAAGAGAUGAGCGCAUCUCAAUUUUCUAACCUCAUCUCCUUUCCUCAAUCUUGCAUAGACACACAGAACACUCCGCAGGACUCUCGUAGCUGGUCGACCCAGAAGGCUCAGGUUUGUAACGAGCUUAAGUGGCUGCAAAUUACAACCAUGUACUUCCACAUAAUCGAUUAUAAUUUGUACAAGAAAAAGAAAAAAAUUGAGUUGAUUUUAUUGAUUUGAAAAUGGGUGCAGUUUUGGGUGAGUUUCUGAGGACCAAAUCGAAAGGUACACUUAUAGGCUCGGGAGGCAUGGAGGAGAUUUAAUGAAGGCAAUAAUGUCACUCGACAUCGUCAUCACAGUGAGACAAUAAUUCAACCAAUAAAAAGACGGAGAAUUAAUGUGGCAAGUUUGUGUUGUGAUUAACAUGUCAUUGUGGACAUUUGGAUGAUCGUGUGGUUGUGGUACUGCGCACAUGGUUCACAUCUUUCUGUCACUGUUCGUAGACUCUACAUGGUACUGUGCACGUGGUUCACAAAAUAAAGGAAAAAUGGAAGAAUUUUAUUUUGAAAAGUCAUCAUCUUAUGGAAAGGAAGAAUUCAAAAGCAAAA